This is a small nucleolar RNA of Dipodomys ordii (Ord's kangaroo rat), 79 nucleotides long. Ensembl annotates it as small nucleolar RNA, C/D box 72. Its record names the gene Snord72. Lineage: Eukaryota; Metazoa; Chordata; Mammalia; Rodentia; Heteromyidae. The record is from Ensembl.
UGCUUAUCAGUGAUGUUGUCGAAAAAAUGUCUGAACAUAUGAAUGCAAUAUUGAUUUCAGCAUCUGACUGAGAUAAGCU